Molecule: unclassified non-coding RNA, 218 nt
Filed under: Hevea brasiliensis (rubber tree)
Lineage: Eukaryota; Viridiplantae; Streptophyta; Magnoliopsida; Malpighiales; Euphorbiaceae
Source: RNAcentral
CACUUCCCCUACAAUUUCAUGCCUGCACAUCGCAUUCCAUUGUUACCAAAACUUAAUUGAAAAAUGUUUAAUGUAAAUAUUGAAAUAAAUUAUUAAGAUAUCAUAUAUCUGGAACUUAAAACUGAUAAUUUUGAAGACAGACUCAAAUAUUGAACUAAAACUUAGCCCCCAUUUGUUACAUGAAAAAAUUUUUCUUAACGUGUUUUCUAAUAUUUGAG